GCAUUUACGGAGAGUUUGAUCCUGGCUCAGGAUGAACGCUGGCGGCGUGCUUAACACAUGCAAGUCGAACGAUGAAGCCAGCUUGCUGGUGGAUUAGUGGCGAACGGGUGAGUAACACGUGAGUAACCUGCCCUUGACUCUGGGAUAAGCCUGGGAAACCGGGUCUAAUACUGGAUAUGACUGCCGGCCGCAUGGUCUGGUGGUGGAAAGCUUUAUUGCGGUUUUGGAUGGACUCGCGGCCUAUCAGCUUGUUGGCGGGGUAAUGGCCCACCAAGGCGACGACGGGUAGCCGGCCUGAGAGGGUGACCGGCCACACUGGGACUGAGACACGGCCCAGACUCCUACGGGAGGCAGCAGUGGGGAAUAUUGCACAAUGGGCGCAAGCCUGAUGCAGCGACGCCGCGUGAGGGAUGAAGGCCUUCGGGUUGUAAACCUCUUUCAGUAGGGAAGAAGCGAAAGUGACGGUACCUGCAGAAGAAGCGCCGGCUAACUACGUGCCAGCAGCCGCGGUAAUACGUAGGGCGCAAGCGUUAUCCGGAAUUAUUGGGCGUAAAGAGCUCGUAGGCGGUUUGUCGCGUCUGCCGUGAAAGUCCGGGGCUUAACUCCGGAUCUGCGGUGGGUACGGGCAGACUAGAGUGCAGUAGGGGAGACUGGAAUUCCUGGUGUAGCGGUGAAAUGCGCAGAUAUCAGGAGGAACACCGAUGGCGAAGGCAGGUCUCUGGGCUGUAACUGACGCUGAGGAGCGAAAGCAUGGGGAGCGAACAGGAUUAGAUACCCUGGUAGUCCAUGCCGUAAACGUUGGGCACUAGGUGUGGGGGACAUUCCACGUUUUCCGCGCCGUAGCUAACGCAUUAAGUGCCCCGCCUGGGGAGUACGGCCGCAAGGCUAAAACUCAAAGGAAUUGACGGGGGCCCGCACAAGCGGCGGAGCAUGCGGAUUAAUUCGAUGCAACGCG
RNAcentral lists this ribosomal RNA (955 nucleotides) under uncultured Arthrobacter sp. RNAcentral's name for it is "SSU rRNA". It matches the Rfam family "Bacterial small subunit ribosomal RNA", at positions 1 to 963 of the family's 1533-position model. The record is from RNAcentral. Lineage: Bacteria; Bacillati; Actinomycetota; Actinomycetes; Micrococcales; Micrococcaceae.